This 622-nucleotide ribosomal RNA is filed under the name Akkermansia muciniphila. RNAcentral describes it as "bacterial SSU rRNA". It matches the Rfam family "Bacterial small subunit ribosomal RNA", at positions 37 to 680 of the family's 1533-position model. Lineage: Bacteria; Pseudomonadati; Verrucomicrobiota; Verrucomicrobiia; Verrucomicrobiales; Akkermansiaceae. The record is from RNAcentral.
UGGCGGCGUGGUUAAGACAUGCAAGUCGAACGAGAGAAUUGCUAGCUUGCUAAUAAUUCUCUAGUGGCGCACGGGUGAGUAACACGUGAGUAACCUGCCCCCGAGAGCGGGAUAGCCCCGGGAAACUGGGAUUAAUACCGCAUAGUAUCGAAAGAUUGAAGCAGCAAUGCGCUUGGGGAUGGGCUCGCGGCCUAUUAGUUAGUUGGUGAGGUAACGGCUCACCAAGGCGAUGACGGGUAGCCGGUCUGAGAGGAUGUCCGGCCACACUGGAACUGAGACACGGUCCAGACACCUACGGGUGGCAGCAGUCGAGAAUCAUUCACAAUGGGGGAAACCCUGAUGGUGCGACGCCGCGUGGGGGAAUGAAGGUCUUCGGAUUGUAAACCCCUGUCAUGUGGGAGCAAAUUAAAAAGAUAGUACCACAAGAGGAAGAGACGGCUAACUCUGUGCCAGCAGCCGCGGUAAUACAGAGGUCUCAAGCGUUGUUCGGAAUCACUGGGCGUAAAGCGUGCGUAGGCUGUUUCGUAAGUCGUGUGUGAAAGGCGCGGGCUCAACCCGCGGACGGCACAUGAUACUGCGAGACUAGAGUAAUGGAGGGGGAACCGGAAUUCACGGUGUAGCA